Molecule: ribosomal RNA, 330 nt
Filed under: uncultured eukaryote
Lineage: Eukaryota
Description: partial 18S ribosomal RNA
Rfam family: Eukaryotic small subunit ribosomal RNA
Source: RNAcentral
CCCUUAGAUGUUCUGGGCCGCACGCGCGCUACACUGAUGCAUUCAACGAGUCUAAAACCUGGUCUGAUAGGGCUGGGUAAUCUUUUGAAUGUGCAUCGUGAUUGGGAUAGAUGAUUGCAAUUCUUCAUCUUCAACGAGGAAUGCCUAGUAAACGCAAGUCAUCAGCUUGCGUUGAUUACGUCCCUGCCCUUUGUACACACCGCCCGUCGCUCCUACCGAUUGAAUGUUCCGAUGAAUACCAUGGACUGAGAGUAUGAAUGGGUUCGCCUAUUUCUGCUUCUCGGGAAGUGGAGUAAAUCUUAACAUUUAGAGGAAGGAGAAGUCGUAACA